ACGCACGCUGGCGGCGUGCUUAACACAUGCAAGUCGAACGGAAAGGCCCUGCUUUUGUGGGGUGCUCGAGUGGCGAACGGGUGAGUAACACGUGAGUAACCUGCCCUUGACUUUGGGAUAACUUCAGGAAACUGGGGCUAAUACCGGAUAGGAGCUCCUGCUGCAUGGUGGGGGUUGGAAAGUUUCGGCGGUUGGGGAUGGACUCUCGGCUUAUCAGCUUGUUGGUGGGGUAGUGGCUUACCAAGGCUUUGACGGGUAGCCGGCCUGAGAGGGUGACCGGCCACAUUGGGACUGAGAUACGGCCCAGACUCCUACGGGAGGCAGCAGUGGGGAAUAUUGCACAAUGGGCGGAAGCCUGAUGCAGCAACGCCGCGUGCGGGAUGACGGCCUUCGGGUUGUAAACCGCUUUCGCCUGUGACGAAGCGUGAGUGACGGUAAUGGGUAAAGAAGCACCGGCUAACUACGUG
Molecule: ribosomal RNA, 467 nt
Filed under: uncultured bacterium
Lineage: Bacteria
Description: partial 16S ribosomal RNA
Rfam family: Bacterial small subunit ribosomal RNA
Source: RNAcentral